GAUGAAGAACGCAGCGAAAUGCGAUAAGUAAUGUGAAUUGCAGAAUUCAGUGAAUCAUCGAAUCUUUGAACGCACCUUGCACCCUUUGGCAUUCCGAAGGGUAUGCUCGUUUGAGUGUCAUUGUACUCCCACUCUCCCGAUCUUUGGAUCGGGAGUGGUGGACUUGGGUGUUGCUGCUUUACCGUGGCUCACCUCAAAUGGAUUCGUGCAACUCCUGGUUGGACAUAGUACGGCGUGAUAAGUGUCUUCGCCGGCACCUCACUAGAGGGUGGCUGACCGGGAGCUCUGUGCUUCAAACCGUCUUCGGACAACAACUGACAACUUGACCUCAAAUCGAGUAGGACCACCCGCUGAACUUAAGCAUAUCAAUAAGCGGAGGA
This 380-nucleotide unclassified non-coding RNA is filed under the name soil metagenome. RNAcentral describes it as "partial contains 5.8S ribosomal RNA, internal transcribed spacer 2, and large subunit ribosomal RNA". The stretch from base 1 to 120 matches the Rfam family "5.8S ribosomal RNA", at positions 35 to 154 of the family's 154-position model. The record is from RNAcentral.